UGGAAACAGCGGUUAGGAGCUUACACCCACCCGUGUUUACAUACUAUUGUUGCUUUGGCGGGCCGUGGCCUCCACUGCGGGCUCUGCUCGUGUGUGCCCGCCAGAGGACCAAACUCUGAAUGUUAGUGAUGUCUGAGUACUAUCUAAUAGUUAAAACUUUCAACAACGGAUCUCUUGGUUCUGGCAUCGAUGAAGAACGCAGCGAAAUGCGAUAAGUAAUGUGAAUUGCAGAAUUCAGUGAAUCAUCGAAUCUUUGAACGCACAUUGCGCCCUGUGGUAUUCCGCAGGGCAUGCCUGUUCGAGCGUCAUUUAACCACUCACGCCUAGCGUGGUAUUGGGGCACGCGGUCUCCGCGGCCCUCAAAAUUAGUGGCGGUGCCGGUGGGCUCUAAGCGUAGUACAUACUCCCGCUAUAGAGUUCCCCCCGGUGGCUCGCCAGAACCCCCAAUUUUUACAGGUUGACCUCGGAUCAGGUAGGGAUA
RNAcentral lists this ribosomal RNA (481 nucleotides) under uncultured Helotiales. RNAcentral's name for it is "eukaryotic LSU rRNA". The stretch from base 155 to 308 matches the Rfam family "5.8S ribosomal RNA". The record is from RNAcentral. Lineage: Eukaryota; Fungi; Ascomycota; Leotiomycetes; Helotiales.